Molecule: long non-coding RNA, 2913 nt
Organism: Gavialis gangeticus (Gharial)
Lineage: Eukaryota; Metazoa; Chordata; Crocodylia; Gavialidae
Exons: 3
Source: RefSeq, a predicted model, not a curated record
CAUGGUUUGAAUAAAUAUGACUUGUAUGAGCUAAGUUUUCAAGUUACAUGCAUCCACCUGAAACACUAGACCUGAAGUUUUUGCAGAGACUCCAAAUUACAUUUAAUCUCUGUUCUUUUAUGCAUCCUUCAGCUAAAUCAGAAAUCUAAAUAUGUGAUCUAGCAGAGAAAGCAUGAAAUUUUGCAACACUUCCUGAGGAGUUGGGAUCUAUAAAUUAAUAAAUGGCUUGCACUCAACCAUGUGCUAUAUAUAGGUUUUCCAUUCAUGACAGAUAUAAUAUUGAUAGUAUCAUUCAUUAACAUUUAAUAAUAACCUUUAUUUAAUAACUAAUCCAAGUAUAAUUUAAUACAGUAUAAAUUUAAAAUAUUCGUCAUCUUGCUUUGCUGUUUCAGAAAACCAUAAAAGAACAAAACAGAGCAGAAAUUGCUACCAAAAAUAUAUUGUAAUGCCUAUUAGUUAGAUUAUGGAGAGACAAUGAGUUUACCAUGAAACCGGGUUCAAUCCUCCAAACAUUCACUAUACGAUUUACUACUCAAAAUUGUUCCAUUCCAGAUAAUAAGAGAAAUCAGUAAGGUUUUAAAAUGUGUAACUGCAAAAUUGGCUAAAAGUGUCUAUUUGUGUCUCUCUUCGUACUGUACUUCAUACUAAGCACAAGUCAAAAAUUUACCUUUCAGAUUUAAGUCGUCAGAAUGGGCCCUUAAAUUUAGUUCACCGUGGACUUCUCUAUAUAAAAUGAAAAAAAUUGGGUUUCACUAUUAAGUUCUAUCAAAGAUUUUCUCCCAGAAUAAGCAGUUUAGACUAUUAGCACCCAUUGUGUCUAGUAAUAUAUCCUCUCAUUGUAAUGGGGAGGGGGCACAUUAAAGCUGUCCCAAGAAUGGCCCGACAAUAGGCACAGGAUUUUGGAUACACCACUGAGGAAAACUAGUCCUGGUAAUGUGAGACUUCUGCAUAUUUCAGAGGUCAUCUCUUGGCCACAGCAAAGUUCCCACUUUCAUCCAAUACCUCUAAUUAAGCUAGACUUAAGGCAACAUUCUACAACACAGGGAAGCUAAUAUGGAAUUACCAGUUAAUUGUGUCCACACCACUCUUUUACCAGGAAUUGUUAGCCCCUGUCCUGACAUCAUUUUAUUUUAAAGUUUUCACAUUUGCCAUGGUUUAUAAUUUUGGUAGCAGAAAAGUAUCAUUCUAUAGGGCAAAUCUUGGUGUAAGAAAAAAAGGCUAAUUAAAUACCAGCACCAAACACUGGAUUUCAGAAGCUGGAAGAAAAAAAUAAAUAAAUAUGACCCCUUUUACAAGUUUCUAUUUGUUCUGUCUUAUAAAGUCUAACCUUAAGGUACAUGAAUAUACGUAUAGUAUCAGGAUGGGUCUCUUGGUACAAGUGAAUACUUGCCACCUUUAAAACAGCUAAUUAUUAGGGUGCGUGGGUACUGAAAUAUUUAUUUUUCUGAGUAACUAUUGGAGACUGUCAGUUCAGAUGCUUCCUACCCAAAGAUAAUACCUGGAUUUGGCUAGAUUUUCAGAUAGAAAACAAGGUAGGAGUGGCAAAGAGCAAUGCUCUUUUCUUUAAAAACAGCCUUUUCAUCUUUCUUGCUCAACAGUUGCACAAGAACAAAACUUCAAAGAAAUCUAAGAGGAGGAGGAAAGUCCAGCAAAAAACCCACUCACUUACCCAAUUAUUUUUUUUAACUUGGAACUAGAAGUAUGAAAGUAAGCCAGUGAUGCAUUGGUUUCUUACUGGAAUAGAGGAACCCUGAUGUAAGAAUGUCUAUUCUUUGAACAGUAUCAAUCCGUGUAGACUUCUGAAAUAUCCCCAGGGACCUACCCUGCUGUCACAGGUUCUCAGAAGUCCUCUAUUACAUUUCUGCAAGCCUUGCUAUUGGGAACACAGAUGAAAAAAUAUAACUUAUUCCAAAACACCAGUAAGCCUGUGAUAUAGAGAAGUCUAUAUUUUAAGAAAAGAAAAGAGAUGAGAGUCAGUAUUUCUUUUCCAAGAUCACUGAUUGCAUUGUGUACUUUAUAUGCUGUAAAAGAAUUACAUAAAAUAAGGAGUAUGUGGGAAAUGCCUGACUUGGGACAGAAAUUGCAAGGUAGCAGGAACCCUGUUAAGAAAAGGAUCUUUGCAUUUCUUGGGAAAGACAUUGUGACACAGACUGCUAUUUGCAACUCCCUGUAGGCUACACCCAAUUCACACACUUGCCCUGCCUGACUUUGUAAGAUUACAGUAACAAAAAUGAGAUCAACCUGAUAAUGCUAAUGAGCUGGAUUCAAAGAGUAAUGAAAUCAGUGGAGAGGCACCCACUGGUUUCAAUUGGUGUUGGGGCAGGGCUAAUUAAUGCACUGCUGAUUAAAAAUACAUUGAUAUGUUUUGCAGAUAUUGGAUUAAACUCUGGCCAGAACAUUCCUACAAAGUAGAGAACAGAAAAAUAUCUUGGAUAAAAUCCUAAACAACUCCACUUUGUCUCCAGGAGAAAUGUAUUAUCUACAUAAAGGUCACCUGUUUCUUCAGCUGAUUUAAAUCAGGCUAGUUCAUCUAUUUUAGUGGAACCUUGUGCCUUAUAACAGCUGAUGAGCUGGCAUGUCAACAAAAUUAUAGCAAAUAUCAAAAGGGUUUUGUUACUUAUGCAAGUACCAGGCUUCAAAAUGCUCCCGAGACCAGCUAGAUCAAUAGGGGGCAUGUACAGACGUCAGACUUAGACCAGUCUAAGUGAACAUAUAUCAAUCAAAACCCAUAACUGUACAGAAGUUUGAUGCACAUAGACCACAUGCGAGCUGUCAAAUGCAGACGUUUCUCCAUCCCCAGUUCCCACUCAACAUGCUUUCGAUGAUGACACACGCUCUGCUGAGCCCAGUUGGGGACUGAAAGUUCCCAGCAUGAGACAAAUAAACAGCUCUUCUCACCCUGCCCCCCCCCCC